AGUGAACGCUGGCGGUAGGCCUAACACAUGCAAGUCGAACGGCAGCACAGAGGAGCUUGCUCCUUGGGUGGCGAGUGGCGGACGGGUGAGGAAUACAUCGGAAUCUACUCUGUCGUGGGGGAUAACGUAGGGAAACUUACGCUAAUACCGCAUACGACCUACGGGUGAAAGCAGGGGAUCUUCGGACCUUGCGCGAUUGAAUGAGCCGAUGUCGGAUUAGCUAGUUGGCGGGGUAAAGGCCCACCAAGGCGACGAUCCGUAGCUGGUCUGAGAGGAUGAUCAGCCACACUGGAACUGAGACACGGUCCAGACUCCUACGGGAGGCAGCAGUGGGGAAUAUUGGACAAUGGGCGCAAGCCUGAUCCAGCCAUACCGCGUGGGUGAAGAAGGCCUUCGGGUUGUAAAGCCCUUUUGUUGGGAAAGAAAUCCAGCCGGCUAAUACCUGGUUGGGAUGACGGUACCCAAAGAAUAAGCACCGGCUAACUUCGUGCCAGCAGCCGCGGUAAUACGAAGGGUGCAAGCGUUACUCGGAAUUACUGGGCGUAAAGCGUGCGUAGGUGGUUAUUUAAGUCCGUUGUGAAAGCCCUGGGCUCAACCUGGGAACUGCAGUGGAUACUGGAUGACUAGAAUGUGGUAGAGGGUAGCGGAAUUCCUGGUGUAGCAGUGAAAUGCGUAGAGAUCAGGAGGAACAUCCAUGGCGAAUGCAGCUACCUGGACCACAUUGACACUGAGGCACGAAAGCGUGGGGAGCAAACAGG
Molecule: ribosomal RNA, 758 nt
Filed under: uncultured Stenotrophomonas sp.
Lineage: Bacteria; Pseudomonadati; Pseudomonadota; Gammaproteobacteria; Lysobacterales; Lysobacteraceae
Description: bacterial SSU rRNA
Rfam family: Bacterial small subunit ribosomal RNA
Source: RNAcentral